RNAcentral lists this ribosomal RNA (484 nucleotides) under uncultured bacterium. RNAcentral's name for it is "partial 16S ribosomal RNA". It matches the Rfam family "Bacterial small subunit ribosomal RNA", at positions 30 to 507 of the family's 1533-position model. The record is from RNAcentral.
AUUGAACGCUGGCGGCAGGCCUAACACAUGCGAGUCGAGCGGAUGAAGGGAGCUUGCUCCUGGAUUCAGCGGCGGACGGGUGAGUAAUGCCUAGGAAUCUGCCUGGUAGUGGGGGAUAACGUCCGGAAACGGGCGCUAAUACCGCAUACGUCCUGAGGGAGAAAGUGGGGGAUCUUCGGACCUCACGCUAUCAGAUGAGCCUAGGUCGGAUUAGCUAGUUGGUGGGGUAAAGGCCUACCAAGGCGACGAUCCGUAACUGGUCUGAGGGGAUGAUCAGUCACACUGGAACUGAGACACGGUCCAGACUCCUACGGGAGGCAGCAGUGGGGAAUAUUGGACAAUGGGCGAAAGCCUGAUCCAGCCAUGCCGCGUGUGUGAAGAAGGUCUUCGGAUUGUAAAGCACUUUAAGUUGGGAGGAAGGGCAGUAAGUUAAUACCUUGCUGUUUUGACGUUACCAACAGAAUAAGCACCGGCUAACUUCGUG